RNAcentral lists this ribosomal RNA (447 nucleotides) under Triticum aestivum (bread wheat). RNAcentral describes it as "partial small subunit ribosomal RNA". The record is from RNAcentral. Lineage: Eukaryota; Viridiplantae; Streptophyta; Magnoliopsida; Poales; Poaceae.
AAUGGGGCGAGAAAGAUCCAGCAGUACUGCCCCAUAUGUCUCCUUAGAUGCCCUUACAAGCUGAUUACGAAGGUUCUGGAUAACCGAGUGGCUAUCUUUGCUGACAAAUUGAUUAGCAAAUAUCAAAAUGCUUUCAUAAAACACAGAAACAUUAUGGAUGGGAUCCUUACUCUUCAUGAGGUGUUACACCAUACCCACCAUAAAAAGAAGGUGGGGAUUGUUCUUAAGUUGGAUUUCGAGAAAGCCUAUGAUAAGAUAAAUUGGGACUUUCUUUUAGAAUGUCAUCGAAACUGUGGUUUCAGCCCGAGUUGGCGCGGCUGGGUGGAGAAGAUACUGCACAAUGGCACCCUAAGAAUUAAGCUUAAUAAUGAAAUAGGACCCUACUUUCAGAGUCACAAAGGGGUCCGGCAGGGCGACCCUUACUCCCCAUUCUUGUUUAACUUGGCU